UAAAAGCAUGAAGUUUCCUUGUCCCGGACGGAAGCUAGGAGCAGAUAAACACUGCAUUUUAUUGGAAAGGAAAAAAAAAGAUCUUUAUGUAAGAUAUAAAUAGUGUUGGUGAGUAAUGAGGUAAUCUGAACGAAAAUGUUUGGCAUUAUUCAGUUUCUGAUUGCCAUGUUAAAAUGUGCUAGAUGUGCAACAAUAUGACCUGUGCUACUAUAGUCUAACCUUAGAACAAAAAAAAUAUAAUUGCACGGAAUAAAAAUAAAUAAAUUCCUGGGCUGUUCAUUUACGAAUUGAUGGUCCAAAAAGGACCCACCCUAGCCAAGUUGUGAUGAAUCCCGUGUUGCAGAAGCAGCAUUGCUUAUUUCAUUGAUAUUGAUUCAACCAAACACCCUGAACCAUUUGCUGACCAGCCUGUACCAGAGCAUCCAAUUGGUGAACAAAACUUGGAGAAAUGAAAUGAAUUUGAGGCCAGCAGAGGCUCGACGUGUUGGUGGAUGGCCUAUGAUGAUGGACGACGUGCUGGAAGUGGGCAAUAUAAUUUAGAUAAUCAAAAUCAACAGUUCAAAUCACUAGAAAACCUCUUAAAUCUAAUGAACAAUAUUAUUUAGAACAUCUCUCAUCCUUUCCCUCUCUGUACCGUCGGUCCUGUCCUUCCCACUCCCCGUGACCCCAUCGCUCUCUCCUCUCACUCACGCUGCCUUCACCUUCGACACUUCUUCCCUCUCACUCACGCUGCCGUCACCGUCGACACUUCUUCCUUUCCGGGACUAUAGCAUAAGCACGAUCUAUAUGCCAGUGAAUAAUAGGAGAAGAGUUUCCUCACAAUUGGGAAAAAACGAUGAACAAAUCUUCUAUUUUUUUCUGUCUUUGUUGUUCAAUCUUAAUAGGCCUCCAUGUAAAAGCCCAUCGACAUCCGCCGAACAUUCGCCGAAACGAAAGCCCGGCACCGGAAAAAAAAAACAUUCGCGGUCGCUUCUUUCUUCUUGCCCAAUCCAACUCCAAACUCUCCAUCCAGUGGGAAAAAAAAAACAAAAAGGGUACCGGAAGCGGCGAAAGCCUCGCCCCCCGCCGCUCUCGCAUCGUCUCCGGAGCGCACGUCAGAUCAGGUGCGCCGCGCCCCCCUCGCCUAAGCUGCGACGACCAUCCAUCGAACAGGUACCACUCGCCGCUGCCCCUCCUUUCCCUUCCUGCUGCGCCGUGGAACCCUCUAAGCGAUUUGGAUUUGGAUCUCACCUCGCUCCUUCCCGUGGCGAUACGACUCGCCGUGACUUUGAUCCGUGGCGGUGGCUCUGCGGGUGCAGGAAGGAU
RNAcentral lists this long non-coding RNA (1305 nucleotides) under Zea mays. Its description in RNAcentral is "long non-coding RNA (ZMAY_LNC003747)". The record is from RNAcentral. Lineage: Eukaryota; Viridiplantae; Streptophyta; Magnoliopsida; Poales; Poaceae.